This 506-nucleotide ribosomal RNA is filed under the name uncultured bacterium. Its description in RNAcentral is "partial 16S ribosomal RNA". It matches the Rfam family "Bacterial small subunit ribosomal RNA", at positions 29 to 523 of the family's 1533-position model. The record is from RNAcentral.
AUUGAACGCUGGCGGCAGGCCUAACACAUGCAAGUCGGACGGUAGCACAGAGGAGCUUGCUCUUCGGGUGACGAGUGGCGGACGGGUGAGUAAUGUCUGGGGAUCUGCCCGAUAGAGGGGGAUAACCACUGGAAACGGUGGCUAAUACCGCAUAACGUCGCAAGACCAAAGAGGGGGACCUUCGGGCCUCUCCCUAACGGUUGAACCCAGAUGGGAUUAGCUAGUAGGCGGGGUAACGGCCCACCUAGGCGACGAUCCCUAGCUGGUCUGAGAGGAUGACCAGCCACACUGGAACUGAGACACGGUCCAGACUCCUACGGGAGGCAGCAGUGGGGAAUAUUGCACAAUGGGCGCAAGCCUGAUGCAGCCAUGCCGCGUGUAUGAAGAAGGCCUUCGGGUUGUAAAGUACUUUCAGCGGGGAGGAAGGCGAUGUGGUUAAUAACCGCGUCGAUUGACGUUACCCGCAGAAGAAGCACCGGCUGACUCCGUGCCAGCCGCCGCCGUAA